UAGGGAAUCUUCGGCAAUGGGGGGAACCCUGACCGAGCAACGCCGCGUGAGUGAAGAAGGAUUUCGGUUCGUAAAACUCUGUUGUUAGAGAAGAACAGCGCAUAGAGUAACUGUUAUGCGUGUGACGGUAUCUAACCAGAAAGCCACGGCUAACUACGUGCCAGCAGCCGCGGUAAUACGUAGGUGGCAAGCGUUGUCCGGAUUUAUUGGGCGUAAAGCGAGCGCAGGCGGUCAAUUAAGUCUGAUGUGAAAGCCCCCGGCUCAACCGGGGAGGGUCAAUGGAAACUGGUUGACUUGAGUGCAGAAGAGGAGAGUGGAAUUCCAUGUGUAGCGGUGAAAUGCGUAGAUAUAUGGAGGAACACCAGUGGCGAAGGCGACUCUCUGGUCUGUAACUGACGCUGAGGCUCGAAAGCGUGGGUAGCAAACAGG
RNAcentral lists this ribosomal RNA (429 nucleotides) under Bacteroidota bacterium. RNAcentral describes it as "Bacteroidetes bacterium partial 16S ribosomal RNA". It matches the Rfam family "Bacterial small subunit ribosomal RNA", at positions 355 to 776 of the family's 1533-position model. Lineage: Bacteria; Pseudomonadati; Bacteroidota. The record is from RNAcentral.